CUUGAACCUGUAUUGUUUAGGUAGUCUAGUCCCAGGUCUGGACCUUGAACCUGUAUUGUUUAGGUAGUCUAGUCCCAGGUCUGGAGCUUGAACCUGUGAUGUAUUGUUUAGGUAGUCUAGUCCCAGGUCUGGAGCUUGAACCUGUAUUGUUUAGGUAGUCUAGUCCCAGGUCUGGAACUUGAACCUGUAUUGUUUAGGUAGUCUAGUCCCAGGUCAAGAGCUUGAACCUGUAUU
This is a long non-coding RNA of Eurytemora carolleeae, 234 nucleotides long. RefSeq lists it as uncharacterized. The record is from RefSeq and is a predicted model, not a curated record. NCBI's taxonomy places the organism in Eukaryota, Metazoa, Arthropoda, Copepoda, Calanoida, Temoridae. The transcript has 3 exons.